Molecule: non-coding RNA, 612 nt
Organism: Pelobates cultripes (western spadefoot toad)
Lineage: Eukaryota; Metazoa; Chordata; Amphibia; Anura; Pelobatidae
Source: the annotation of a GenBank genome assembly
GGACACCACAACAUUUUGACGUGUAUGCAGGUCUUUAUCAAUUCUCCAGUGUCCCCUAUAUAUGACAGUGUCUCAGUGCCACAUGUCUCUCAGUGUGUGUAGUGUCCUUAGUGUCUCAGUGUCCCCUAGUCUCCCAGAGUCCCCAUGUCUUACAGUGCCGCCAAGUGUCUCAGUGUCCACUAGUAUAAAAUAAAAAAUUCUCAGGCACUCACUGUGAUAGAUUUAAGCAGGUUUAUUGGACACCUCAACGUUUUGACCUGUACCCAGGUCUUUAUCAAGUCUCCUGUGUCCCCUAUAUAUCACAGUGUCCCCAUGUCUCCCAGUGUCCCCAAGUGUCUGUGUCCUCAGGUCUCCCAGUGUUCCCUAGUAUCUGUAUCCCCAUGUCUCCCAGUGUUCUAAUGUCUCUCAAUGUCCCCUAGUGACAUGGGGACACUGGAAGACAUGGGGAUACAGACACUAAGGGACUGGGAGACAUGGGGACACAGACAUGCCCCCUUUUUGGGUAUGUUUGCCCCUUUCGGCAGUUCUAGUUAUGUGAUUUGCGUCAGUGGCCCACCCUUUUAACCUGUCCAUAGACUUCCUGCAUUACUGGACACUGCUGUUAGUGUGUAU